UGAUCUUGGUAUAAUCUAUUUGAAUUUAUUAUAAAUUUUAUAGGUUAAUUAAAUUGCUAGCAUAUAGAUUAACCCAAGUUUUCAAUUAAAUUUGGUGCAAAAGUAUUUGUGCUAACCCUAGUCCUAUUGCCUUAAACCUAAUCAGAUUAGGUUUGAUCUUUUGAUUUUUUACCUGAUCACUUGCAAGUGUUUCAUAUGAACAAGGUAUCCUCCACACCACCCACCAGAUUCUCCAUGCAAAUUAUUAAGGGAUGCCCAAAAUGGAUAAGUAGAG
RNAcentral lists this long non-coding RNA (274 nucleotides) under Elaeis guineensis (African oil palm). RNAcentral's name for it is "long non-coding RNA (EGUI_LNC070599)". Lineage: Eukaryota; Viridiplantae; Streptophyta; Magnoliopsida; Arecales; Arecaceae. The record is from RNAcentral.